GGUGGUGUGGCUCAAGGGGUAGAGUGCCUGCCUAGAAAUCAGGAGGCCCUGAGUUCAAUCCCCAGUAUAGCCA
Molecule: transfer RNA, 73 nt
Filed under: Dipodomys ordii (Ord's kangaroo rat)
Lineage: Eukaryota; Metazoa; Chordata; Mammalia; Rodentia; Heteromyidae
Rfam family: tRNA
About the family: Transfer RNA (tRNA) molecules are approximately 80 nucleotides in length. Their secondary structure includes four short double-helical elements and three loops (D, anti-codon, and T loops). Further hydrogen bonds mediate the characteristic L-shaped molecular structure. tRNAs have two regions of fundamental functional importance: the anti-codon, which is responsible for specific mRNA codon recognition, and the 3' end, to which the tRNAs corresponding amino acid is attached (by aminoacyl-tRNA synthetases). tRNAs cope with the degeneracy of the genetic code in two manners: having more than one tRNA (with a specific anti-codon) for a particular amino acid; and 'wobble' base-pairing, i.e. permitting non-standard base-pairing at the 3rd anti-codon position.
Source: Rfam by way of RNAcentral